GGACGGCUGGCGCGGUGGAGCCUCAGACUACAAGAAUACGACAUCACUGUAACCUACAGGAGACAAUGGGCUGGAAUUGGAAUUGAAACAAAUACUCUCAAUUUCACUAGACGUUGUUCGGCCGCAGCUAGCCCUUCUUUGCCCUACACCGUUUGCUUCAGAUACUGUGCUUCAGGCACAAAAUACAUCAAUAAAAUACGUCACACCACUCUAA
This is a non-coding RNA of Dermacentor andersoni, 214 nucleotides long. Lineage: Eukaryota; Metazoa; Arthropoda; Arachnida; Ixodida; Ixodidae. The record is from RefSeq and is a predicted model, not a curated record.